GUAGGCGAUUUUAAUGAGAUCCUAUAUUCCCAUGAGAAGGAAGGGGCGCCACGCCCUGUUCGGUUGAUGCAGAAUUUUUAGGAGGCCCUAGUCGAUUGUGAACUUGAUGACAUGGGCUUCUUCGGUGAGCAGUUUACAAGGAGAAGGCGUCGUCUCCGGGAGCGGUUGGAUCGAGUGGUGUGUAAUGACAGUUUCCAUGGCUUGUUCCCGCAUGCGCUGAUAACGAAUGCACCACAUCUUAAGUCUGACCACAUGCCUGUGGUGCUGGAUACCGAGGGUGGAUCGAUGGAGCAAGAACAGGGCUAUAAACAACGACAUUUUGAAGCCCGCUGGCUACAGGAAGAUGAGGUCAUGGAAAGGGUCACGAAGGCGUGGUCGCGCACGCAUUCUUCCGCGUCUUUGGCUGAGCGGACGGCUGCUGUCCACGGCGAGCUUCAUGAGUGGGACCGCAAGGUCCUGAAGUCGCCACAACACUGUCUAAAAAUUCUCAAGGAGGAGCUUGGAACUUUGUGA
RNAcentral lists this ribosomal RNA (513 nucleotides) under Triticum aestivum (bread wheat). Its description in RNAcentral is "partial small subunit ribosomal RNA". Lineage: Eukaryota; Viridiplantae; Streptophyta; Magnoliopsida; Poales; Poaceae. The record is from RNAcentral.